GAGAGAGAGAGAGAGAGGGAGAGAGGGAGGGAAGGGAUUCUAGGGCUAGGUCUCACCUGGGAGAAGAGCAUGGAUCCGAAGAAGCCGGCGAGGAAAAAGAGGGAGCAGGAGAGGAGCACGGUGGGGAGGCCAAGCUUGGUCCUCCCCAGUGCCACCAAGGUCGACCUCCCUUUGUUUCCUUUCAUGGGAGCGGAUGCUUGGAAGCGGGAAGAGGGGAAAGAAAGAAAUGAGACGAGAGGAAAUUGGAGGACAGUAAACCGGGAUCUCCCGUGUGUCCGAGGAGAAUCCUCUUCUGUUUUAGUCUUUUAGACCUCCCACCGGCCACCUCCGUUGUUGGGAACUUUUUAAUUAAUUGGUUUUUUUUUUUUUUUUUUUUUUUUU
This 381-nucleotide long non-coding RNA is filed under the name Elaeis guineensis (African oil palm). RNAcentral's name for it is "long non-coding RNA (EGUI_LNC076734)". The record is from RNAcentral. Lineage: Eukaryota; Viridiplantae; Streptophyta; Magnoliopsida; Arecales; Arecaceae.